RNAcentral lists this long non-coding RNA (614 nucleotides) under Homo sapiens (human). Its description in RNAcentral is "HSALNT0373286". Lineage: Eukaryota; Metazoa; Chordata; Mammalia; Primates; Hominidae. The record is from RNAcentral.
GGGGCCUCGGGUUAACACUGCAGCCGCUAGACCAGCUCCCUGGCGGGCGCGGAGCAAGCUUUGACCUUUGGAACUGGGCACCGCAGCCCCAAUAUCUGCCCUGCGGUCAGAGCAACCUGAACACUUCCUAGUGAAUUGCAAUGUAAAGGUGACCAGCGCCGCCACUUGGGUGAUCUUAACUUCUCUCAGCCUCAGUUGCCUCAUCUGUAAAAUGUGUUUCAUUCAAGAAAUGAUUACCCAGUGUCUACUUCGUGCUAAACAGCCUUGAGCCCUUGGCCUACAGCAAUGAAUAAAACCAUUUGUGAUGCUCAAAGAGAAGAUGGUCGGUGUAACGCGCUUGUGAUGCUCAAAGAGAAGAUGGUCGGUGUCAUGCGCUUCUGAUGCUCAAAGAGAUCGGUGUCACGCGCAUCCGUGUGAAGACACCGCCAAACAGGGGACAGAAUCUCUCUAUGUUGCCCAGGCUGGUCUCCAACUCGUGGGUUCAAGCGAUCCUCCUGCCUCAGUCUCCCAAAGUGCUGGGAUGACAGGUGUGGGCAACCACACCCAGCCAAGGAUCUGGUUUUUGAAAAGAUAAAUAAAUUUAACAAACCUCCAGCAAGACUGCAAAGAAAAAA